UACGUAGGGUGCGAGCGUUGUCCGGAAUUAUUGGGCGUAAAGAGCUUGUAGGCGGUUUGUCGCGUCUGCUGUGAAAAUCCGGGGCUCAACCCCGGACUUGCAGUGGGUACGGGCAGACUAGAGUGUGGUAGGGGAGACUGGAAUUCCUGGUGUAGCGGUGAAAUGCGCAGAUAUCAGGAGGAACACCGAUGGCGAAGGCAGGUCUCUGGGCCACUACUGACGCUGAGAAGCGAAAGCGUGGGGAGCGAACAGGAUUAGAUACCCG
RNAcentral lists this ribosomal RNA (265 nucleotides) under uncultured prokaryote. Its description in RNAcentral is "partial 16S ribosomal RNA". It matches the Rfam family "Bacterial small subunit ribosomal RNA", at positions 524 to 788 of the family's 1533-position model. The record is from RNAcentral.